RNAcentral lists this ribosomal RNA (492 nucleotides) under uncultured bacterium. Its description in RNAcentral is "partial 16S ribosomal RNA". It matches the Rfam family "Bacterial small subunit ribosomal RNA", at positions 29 to 507 of the family's 1533-position model. The record is from RNAcentral.
AGUGAACGCUGGCGGUAGGCCUAACACAUGCAAGUCGAACGGCAGCACAGUAAGAGCUUGCUCUUACGGGUGGCGAGUGGCGGACGGGUGAGGAAUACAUCGGAAUCUACUUUUUCGUGGGGUAUAACGUAGGGAAACUUACGCUAAUACCGCAUACGACCUACGGGUGAAAGCAGGGGAUCUUCUGACCUUGCUCGAUUGAAUGAGCCGAUGUCGGAUUAGCUAGUUGGCGGGGUAAAGGCCCACCAAGGCGACGAUCCGUAGCUGGUCUGAGAGGAUGAUCAGCCACACUGGAACUGAGACACGGUCCAGACUCCUACGGGAGGCAGCAGUGGGGAAUAUUGGACAAUGGGCGCAAGCCUGAUCCAGACAUACCGCGUGGGUGAAGAAGGCCUUCGGGUUGUAAAGACCUUUUGUUGGGAAAGAAAAGCAGCAGGUUAAUACCCCGCUGUUCUGACGGUACCCAAAGAAUAAGCACCGGCUAACUUCGUG